Molecule: ribosomal RNA, 403 nt
Filed under: uncultured bacterium
Lineage: Bacteria
Description: bacterial SSU rRNA
Rfam family: Bacterial small subunit ribosomal RNA
Source: RNAcentral
UCGGGAAUAUUGCGCAAUGGAGGAAACUCUGACGCAGUGACGCCGCGUGCAGGAAGAAGGUUUUCGGAUUGUAAACUGCUUUAGACAGGGAAGAAAAAAGACAGUACCUGUAGAAUAAGCUCCGGCUAACUACGUGCCAGCAGCCGCGGUAAUACGUAGGGAGCAAGCGUUAUCCGGAUUUAUUGGGUGUAAAGGGUGCGUAGACGGGAAAUUAAGUUAGUUGUGAAAUCCCUCGGCUCAACUGAGGAACUGCAACUAAAACUGGUUUUCUUGAGUGCUGGAGAGGAAAGUGGAAUUCCUAGUGUAGCGGUGAAAUGCGUAGAUAUUAGGAGGAACACCAGUGGCGAAGGCGACUUUCUGGACAGUAACUGACGUUGAGGCACGAAAGUGUGGGGAGCAAACA